AGCCUUUGCUAGUAUUCGUCCGUACCACUUUCGAUUUCACUGCAAGACAUCGACGUAUCGUCAUCUACAUUUUUACGUACUAUUGUUAUUCUUUAAGUAUAGAUUUUCUUUUUUUAUUUAAUUUUCAAAUUAACGGCUCACGCCAAUAAACCUAUGAAACUUUGUGUAGUCUAAAUCAUUCAACAACUACUUCUAACACUAUUUUAUAAAAUUGACAUACGCUAUAGUGUUAUAUUUAGAAGUAGCCAAAUUGACAACCCAAUUGAGCUCAAUUUAUGCUUCGCAUCGAAACUAAAAUAUCAAGCGUCAGGACGUACAAACUCUUCAAAUGGAAUACCCAAAAACUAUGUAUGUCAUACUUCAAGAUCAUCCUUAUUAUAUAAAAUAAAACAAUGGGAUAAAGUUUAGUCCAGUACUUAUGUGAGUCACGCAAUAAAUUAUGAAGAAAUUUCUUAUGAAGGUAUAAUAAUGGAAAAUGGAAUUUUGAAGAAUGUGAUUUAUACACGUGUAAAGAAUAAUCUUUAUAUUUUAGGUAAUGCGAUCACUUUGAACUUCAUUGAAAGUGUGAGCUUUACAUGCAUUGAUCCGUUCUACGAGUUUAUAAUGGAUAUGAAUAAAAAAGUUGCUAAAAUAUCAGAUUACUUGAAGGAAUUUAGUAAAAAUCUUGAUCAACCUGUACCGAUAUUCAAUAAAUAAUAGAUAUCUCUAAACCGUAUGAAUGUAAUUUAAAUGUUUACAAAAAACACGAACACAAAUAUAAGAAUUACAAAUUUAAUACUGUAGACGAAGAUUGCAUGAGUGAUUUAUUAAGCAGCAUGAAUUUAAUGGAAGAUAAAUUACACUUUAUAAAAGAAUCUUAUGUAGUAGAAAUGAAUAUUAGGGCAAUAUCGAAUUAGUAAAUACACAUUGAUAUAAUGAUGAAAUUAUUAAGGAUCUGUUGACUUUAGAUCAACAUUAUGAUUGUUAUAAAUGUAAAAUGAAGAUAAGAAUCAAAGUUCUUGAACAAGAUGUAAGAAUGAACGUGAUUGAUAAAAAUCAUUUACAUUUAAAUAAAUACAUGUAAAUAUAUAAAUGAUUUAUAUUUUUUUACCAAGUGGACAUGGCUGGUACUGUAAAUCGUGUACUAAAUAUAUGACGCAGGGUAUGUGAUUAAGAGAUUACAGGUACUCAAAAUCUAAAUAUAAAAUCACCUGCGAAAAUAAUUGGAAAAGAGAAUUCGCACUUACAAUUAAGAUGUGUCUCAGAUCAACAAGAAGCGCGUUGUGUAAGGUACCGCAGUCAAAUAAAAGAUGUGGAAUCUUCAAACAAUUAUGUAAUGAUAGCAAGUGGUCAUGGAUGGUAUUGCAGUAAUGUAUUUUGCAAAACGAUAUUUAAUUGUGUAUCAUGAAUAUUGGGGAUAAAUUGUGUGUAAAUUUACAAAACAAUGAAAAAAUCUAUUAAAGUUAUUUCUUUAAUUAAUAUUAUUUUAUAAAGUUUAUUAAUUGAUAAGGUCAUUAAACACAUUUAAACUGAAUCAUUAAACAUUAAAGACAUAAAAAGAGAUGCUGGCAAUAUUUUUCAUCAUUUAUGUUUCAAUAAUUAUAUAAUUCAGAAUUUAUGUACCACAUUCAAUUAUUGACGCGGGUGUAUUAUUUUUAGUUCUUGAGUACCUAUAAUCGUUUAUAACAAACAGAACAUGCUUUCAUUCGGCCAGUGCUCAUAUCAAUGCAAGUUUAACAAAAUUUUUAUUAAGUUGUUUUAUCCUAUUUAAUAUUAUAACUACAUUUUUAUUAAUUUCUAUUGCAUACUUUCCACAAAGCUCAAAAUGAUUUCAUAAUCUAGAGUACAAUGUUCAUAUUUUGGACAAAUAUCAACUACAUCCGACAAAGGUCUGUUCAUUAUUUCUAUAUUUUCAUAUAAAACUUCUUCGUAACUCCAAGGUACUGAACAAACCAUUUACUCAUGACGAGUCUCCUAGAAAAGGAAUGAUUUUUAAGCUUUAAUACCAUAAUAUUUUUCUAGUACUUUUUAAGAGUUUCUUAGUUCUUACAUGUGAUUUUAUUAUUCUCCAGUUACAUAUUUGAAAUAGGGAUAAUGUUUUUAUGUUUAGAUUUUGAGUACCUGUAAUCUCUUAAUAACAUACCCUGCGUCAUAUAUUUAGUACACGAUUUACAGCACCAGCCAUGUCCACUUGGUAAACAAAUGUAAAUCAUUUAUGUAUUUACAUGCAUUUAUUUAAAUGUAAAUGAUUUUUAUCAAUCAUGUUUAUUCUUACAAAAACUAAAAACUAUAGCAGACACCUCCGAAGAGAAAUUUCAUAAAAAUGUAUAAUUAUUCACAAAAUAUAUACUUAUAGUACAAUUUGAAAUUUUUAUAAAUCUAUAUUUAUUAAAUAAGCCAUAAAUUCUAAUAUCUUGAAAUUGAUUGAAAAAUUUUUACAGAAAAGUGUUUCAUUAAUUACAAAUAUUAAUAUUUUUUAUUUUCGUAAAAUAUUGUUAUAUAAUAAAACGUUAGUAUAAAAAAAUUUUCUCCUUACUCUUAUCUUCAUUUUACAUUUAUAACAAUCAUAAUGUUGAUCUAAAGUCAACAGAUCCUUAAUAAUUUCAUCAUUAUAUCAAUGUGUAUUUACUAAUU
This is a long non-coding RNA of Daktulosphaira vitifoliae (grape phylloxera), 2613 nucleotides long. RefSeq lists it as uncharacterized. NCBI's taxonomy places the organism in Eukaryota, Metazoa, Arthropoda, Insecta, Hemiptera, Phylloxeridae. The record is from RefSeq and is a predicted model, not a curated record. The transcript has 5 exons.